This 252-nucleotide ribosomal RNA is filed under the name uncultured Sulfobacillus sp. RNAcentral's name for it is "partial 16S ribosomal RNA". It matches the Rfam family "Bacterial small subunit ribosomal RNA", at positions 524 to 776 of the family's 1533-position model. Lineage: Bacteria; Bacillati; Bacillota; Clostridia; Eubacteriales; Clostridiales Family XVII. Incertae Sedis. The record is from RNAcentral.
GACGUAGGGGGCGAGCGUUGUCCGGAAUGACUGGGCGUAAAGGGCGUGUAGGCGGUGCGGUACGUGGGGUCGGAAAGGCGGCGGCUCAACCGGCGCAGGGGCUCCAAACGGCCACACUGGAGGGCAGGAGAGGUGCGCGGAAUUCCCGGUGGAGCGGUGAAAUGCGUAGAGAUCGGGAAGAACACCCGUGGCGAAGGCGGCGCACUGGCCUGGCCCUGACGCUGAGGCGCGACAGCGUGGGGAGCGAACGGG